RNAcentral lists this unclassified non-coding RNA (19 nucleotides) under Mus musculus (house mouse). RNAcentral's name for it is "oocyte_clustered_small_RNA9369". Lineage: Eukaryota; Metazoa; Chordata; Mammalia; Rodentia; Muridae. The record is from RNAcentral.
GCCAACUCAGUAUGGGAGA